RNAcentral lists this ribosomal RNA (253 nucleotides) under uncultured bacterium. RNAcentral describes it as "partial 16S ribosomal RNA". It matches the Rfam family "Bacterial small subunit ribosomal RNA", at positions 524 to 776 of the family's 1533-position model. The record is from RNAcentral.
UACAGAGGUCUCAAGCGUUGUUCGGAUUCAUUGGGCGUAAAGGGUGCGUAGGUGGCGCGGUAAGUCGGGUGUGAAAUCUCGGAGCUUAACUCCGAAAUUGCAUUCGAUACUGCCGUGCUCGAGGACUGGAGAGGAGACUGGAAUUCAUGGUGUAGCAGUGAAAUGCGUAGAGAUCAUGAGGAAGACCAGUGGCGAAGGCGGCAUCCUGGACCAACACUGACACUGAUGAGCGAAAGCCAGGGGAGCAAACGGG